UGUGCCUACGGGAGGCAGCAGUGAGGAAUAUUGGCCAAUGGGCGGGAGCCUGAACCAGCCAAGUCGCGUGAAGGAAGAAGGUACUUAGUAUUGUAAACUUCUUUUGUCGGGGAACAAAGGCGGAGACGCGUCUCCGGAUGAGUGUACCCGAAGAAAAAGCAUCGGCUAACUCCGUGCCAGCAGCCGCGGUAAUACGGAGGAUGCGAGCGUUAUCCGGAUUUAUUGGGUUUAAAGGGUGCGCAGGCGGGGGAUCAAGUCAGCGGGAAAAUGUCGGGGGUCAACCCCGGGCGGCCGUUGAAACUGGG
Molecule: ribosomal RNA, 305 nt
Filed under: uncultured bacterium
Lineage: Bacteria
Description: bacterial SSU rRNA
Rfam family: Bacterial small subunit ribosomal RNA
Source: RNAcentral